This 202-nucleotide long non-coding RNA is filed under the name Elaeis guineensis (African oil palm). RNAcentral's name for it is "long non-coding RNA (EGUI_LNC024885)". The record is from RNAcentral. Lineage: Eukaryota; Viridiplantae; Streptophyta; Magnoliopsida; Arecales; Arecaceae.
UAACAAUGCUUUCUUCCAACUUUUUGAUUAGGAGUAACGAGACGGUUUAUAGAGAGAGAGUCUAAUUUGCCGCUAUGCCGGAGUGGAGAGAGCAGAGCGCGUGGAAGGAUGCUGCAGUUGUAAUAACUACUGGACGUAUUAAAUUAAAGGAAAGUAGUAUCUGUACACAUGGUGAUGACAAAUAUUAAUGCUAACUAAAACA